CCUACGGGAGGCAGCAGUGAGGAAUAUUGGUCAAUGGGCGGAAGCCUGAACCAGCCACGUCGCGUGCAGGAUGACGGCCCUACGGGUUGUAAACCGCUUUUAUACGGGAAUAACGCGCCUUACGUGUCGGGCUUCGCAUGUACCGUAUGAAUCAGGACCGGCUAAUUCCGUUCCAGCAGACGCGGUACUACGGUAGGUCCGGGGGUGAUCCGGAUUUAUUGGGUUUAAGGGGUGCGUAGGCGGACGCUUAAGUUAGCGGUAAAAUUGCGGGGCUCAACCUCGUCGAGCCGUUGAAACUGGGUGCCUUGAGUGGGCGAGAGGUACGCGGAAUGCGCGGUGUAGCGGUGAAAUGCAUAGAUAUCGCGCAGAACUCCGAUUGCGAAGGCAGCGUACCGGCGCCAGACUGACGCUGAGGCACGAAAGCGUGGGGAUCGAACAGGAUUAGAUACCCUGGUAGUC
This 459-nucleotide ribosomal RNA is filed under the name uncultured bacterium. RNAcentral's name for it is "partial 16S ribosomal RNA". It matches the Rfam family "Bacterial small subunit ribosomal RNA", at positions 338 to 795 of the family's 1533-position model. The record is from RNAcentral.